RNAcentral lists this ribosomal RNA (228 nucleotides) under Triticum aestivum (bread wheat). Its description in RNAcentral is "partial small subunit ribosomal RNA". Lineage: Eukaryota; Viridiplantae; Streptophyta; Magnoliopsida; Poales; Poaceae. The record is from RNAcentral.
AUGAAAAUGAUUUGCUGGAACUGUCGAGGUUUGGGCCAACCUCGGACAGUCCAAGAGCUGGUGUGCCUCACAAAGACACAUCGACCCAAUGUUAUCUUUCUUUCAGAAACAAGGCAAAAUAAAGAGUAUGUUGAGAGUUUGCGUUAUCGCCUUGGUAUGAAAAUUGUAUUUAUUGUUUCUGUUCCAGGAAAAGGAGGUGGCUUAGUGGUUUUUUAGGACGACCUUUAU